GGGGGGGGGUCUCUCGCUCGGCGCGGAUCGCUGCGGGCGCCGCGCGGCCAUGGAGGCGGACGGGAGCCAGGCGACCUCGGGCGGCCCCGGCGAGGCGCAGCACGACCCCGGCAAGAUGUUCAUCGGCGGCCUCAGCUGGCAGACCUCCCCAGACAGUCUGCGCGACUACUUCAGCAAAUUCGGGGAGAUCCGGGAGUGCAUGGUCAUGCGGGACCCCACCACCAAGCGCUCCAGAGGCUUCGGCUUCGUGACGUUCAUGGACCAGGCUGGCGUCGACAAGGUUCUGGCCCAAUCCAGACAUGAACUGGACUCCAAGACGAUUGACCCUAAAGUUGCAUUUCCCCGACGAGCACAGCCUAAGAUGGUCACAAGAACAAAGAAAAUAUUUGUAGGUGGAUUAUCGGCUAAUACAGUAGUGGAAGACGUAAAGCAAUACUUUGAACAGUUUGGCAAGGUAGAAGACGCCAUGCUUAUGUUUGACAAGACGACCAACAGACAUAGAGGAUUUGGUUUCGUUACUUUUGAAAACGAAGAUGUGGUGGAAAAAGUCUGCGAAAUUCACUUCCAUGAAAUCAAUAAUAAAAUGGUAGAAUGUAAGAAAGCACAACCUAAAGAAGUGAUGUUUCCACCAGGGACGAGAGGAAGGGCGCGUGGAUUGCCAUACACCAUGGACGCUUUUAUGCUGGGGAUGGGAAUGUUGGGUUACCCCAAUUUUGUCGCGACUUAUGGCCGAGGAUAUCCUGGAUUUGCCCCAAGUUACAGCUAUCAGUUUCCAGGUUUUCCGGCAGCGGCCUACGGACCAGUAGCAGCGGCAGCCGUGGCGGCAGCAAGAGGAUCAGGUUUUGUUUUACGUACAAACAGACCUGGUGAGUUGCCCCUUAGCAAGGCACAGAGGGUUUGGCUGGAUUAACGUUGCUUCCCUGAUGAUUACUAUUUUUUUAAUCGGAGUGCUUUUGGUGCCCAUUACAACUGAACUGAGCAUUGAUCAAUUCUGUGCCUGAAAAUCAUUUGUCUUUAAUUUGAGUGUUUUUUGGUUUUUCUUCUGUUGGGUUUUCUGUUUUGUUUUGUUUUUUAGUUUUUUAUUUGAACUUGCAAUACAAAACUAAAUCUAACUCGAAAUUAACAACACCCUUUCUGGCAAGUUUAAAGAGCAGUAUGGUGUUUGGAAAUGUCUUUCAAGCCUCAAAAUUGCCCGUGUGCACAAAAAAAUGGCAAAGCCCCAAAACCAAAUCACAAGAGCCACCCCAACCCUGAGACCUGCAGGAGGGAGGUGGGUCUGUCACAGCCACGGGGCACAGCCAGCCCUGCUCCGGGCACGGCAUGUGUCAUGUAGUCAUCUCCAUCCAAAGACAGCAUUCAGAAGGGACAUCCUCACUUCCAUCUAGCCAUGGUAGUGAAUUGUAUCCAGGAGCAGUAGGGUGAUCUUGUGAUGCAGUGUAUAAGCCCUAUUCGUUACAAGAAAAAUUGUUGGGCUUUUUCUCCUUUUUGGUUGUUUUUUUUUCUUUUACCCAUUGCAAAUUUGCACAGCCCUGCUUCACACAUGCCCCAGCCCCAAGCCCAGAGUGCAGUGCUGCUGCCCUGCCCUAUGGCUGUUGCCCCUCCAUGGGCAAUGCAUCACUGCUUCCCCCCCACAGAAGCCCUGGCCACACACCCUGGCUCAGCCUCGUGGUCUCCCAAGGAGACUGCAGCCUUCUCAUGUCCAAUCCCCUUUGGCUCUGGUGUGCAGACACUGCUGACCUCACUGCUCCUGGCUGGCAACCCUUCAUCCUCAGAGGCACCCCGUGCGUUGUUGGGCAGCAGGGCAGUUACCUGUGCAGGAGCUUUCCACUCUUCACUUCUCUCUCCCCUUCUUUUUCUUUUGUGACGAUGCGGCCACCAGUUUGCCUUGCCAGGUCAGACAGGUUCUCUUUUCCGUCACAGCAGCUAUCUCCUACACUCUGCAAAAAGGGAUGUUUCCCUCUGCUCCUGUUCAGUGUCAGCCCUAACCCCCAUUCUUUACCCAGCCGCAUCUACACACAGAGGUGACAGCCGAGGGCUCUCAGUCUCCAUUCCCAUUCAGAGGGCUGUGCUGGAUCCCUUGGCUGCUUUUGAGGACCUCAUCCAUUCUUUUUUUAAUUUAUUUUUCUAAUUGGGACCUGAACUGGGACCUGAACCACGGAAAAUGAGCAAGCAUCAAAGUGUGAGUGCUGCAAACUCCUCCUAGACAACUUCACUAUCAAUGUCACAUUUCUUUUAAAUCCACCCGACAUUUUUUGCGUGUAAAACAUUUUUGUCUUGUAAACACAUUUUUUAAAGUAAAACCAUCGGGGGGGACAUUUUUAUCUUACGUUUGACAUGGGGGGGGGUGGGGAUUAAUUUGGAAGGAUAGCGAGCCAGCAAAAAAUUGGCAGGAGAGGGUUUUAGUGCCUUCCCUUUUGGUUCAUUGACAAGUCUGAGAUUUUUCCAGUUUCCAACCCAUUGCCACCAGCCCUUCCUCCCUGCUGACCAGAGACCAAAGCGUUAAGGCCGUAAGCUCAGCCCGGCCGUCCCAGGUGAGCCGCGGUGCUCCGCUGGCAGCAGGACGGCUCCCAGCACGGCUGGACCUCGGGUGCCUCUCCCGGCUUUGAGCCCCAACAACCCCUUACUGUACUUUAUACUUGCCAGUAUAACGAAUCUAGUAAUGCAAGCUACUGACCUUGAUGGUGAGUGUGAGCAGUUAUGUUUUGUUGUUUUCUCUCUUGCUUGGUUGGGGCUGCUGUGAGAGAGGGUGUCUCUGAGGCAUACUUUCCGGCCUCUCUUACACUCGGACGUGCACACCUCCUCUCAAACACUCUUCUGAGCGCUCUCAGCGGGAAGUCUUGAAUAGCUACAGUGCUCAACCGAAUUUUGGCGCACCCGCUUCCCCGGCAGGCUCCAACCCAGCCCGGCCCGGAGGCUUCCCUGGGGCCAACAGCCCUGGGCCCGUCGCAGACCUCUACGGCACGGCCAGCCAGGACUCCGGCGUCGGCAACUACAUAAGCGCUGCCAGCCCACAGCCGGGCUCCGGCUUCAGCCACGGGAUCGCCGGACCUUUGAUUGCAACGGCUUUUACAAAUGGAUACCAUUGAAACGUUACACAUGGUUGGUUGCCAUCUCACUUGGAGAGUCUCUCUGGAUGUCCAGGCAAAACAGGGCGAAGUUUCUGAGCGGUCCCACAGUGAGGUGACAUCGUCAGACUUCAGCACUACAUCUUCACCAACAGCAAACGAACUGGAGGUGGCACAUGACGGACUUGGGCUGUUUAAAAAAUCUCUCUCAUCAUCUCAUGAAUCUGCUGUACUAUAAAAACAACAGCUUUUAAAAGUAUGUAUAUAAAAUCCACUUCUCGUUCGUUUUAUUUUCUCGAUGGGUUUCCCCCCCCCCUUUUUAAACCCACAUUUUUUAGUAGCGUUUUGACAUAGUCUCGUAGCCACGUAGACCUAAUUCUUUGUGUAUCUCGUAGGAGCCUAACCAUAGCCUAGCUGUUUAUAUUAAGGUUUUCUUUUGUUUCCCCCCUUCUUCGCGUCCCCCUGGUCUCUGUAGUCGCUGUUAUUGCAGGAGGUGGGGGUGUGGCUCCGCAGCACACGGGUCGUCCCCCCUCCUUCUGUUCGUGCCGUCUUCGUUCACCUGCUCCUAUUUUUGGCAAUAAGGCGAGGACGACAGACUUUUGGGCGUCCUUUUUCUAUAAGUGCUUUUUUUUUGUUGUUGUUGAAAGAGGUGAUAUAAGGUUUUUUGAAAUCGUGAAUUCUGAAAAAAAAAACAAAUACAAAAAAAAAAAAAAAAAAAAAAAAAAAAAAAAAAAAAGAAAGCCAAACACUGUAAAUACAAUUCCAUUAAGUACAUAGAAACUAUUAAGAAAGAGAAAUACAAACUAUUUUUGUGAUGGAGUCAGUCUAAGGCAGUUUCUCUAUUAAAACAGAAGACACAAGCGCAGGUCUGACCUUGAGACCAGCUGCCCGGUCGGCCCCGCCGCACCGCACGGCUCUGCUCCCAUCGGUGCGGCACACCCCGCGCUCUGGCUGUUAUUCAUACGUGCACAGCUUCCCCCUGACCGUCUCGUUGUCUUUUUAAUGUAAAAACUGCUUUUCCCGAGACUGAAAAAGAAGCUCCGGUUUUCCUAUUUAUCGCAUUUAAGGUUCGAAGCACACAGCUGCUCCACAUUGCUGCUCCCAGCGCAGGUGGAGCGGCGCAGAGCUCGCAUGGGUACCUUUGUUAUCCAUCACUUUCUGUGUUAUUAACGAGUUAGCAAAGCGACUUUGGUUUGUCUGGUUGUGUUUUGGUUUUGGUUGGGUUUUGUUGGUUUUAUUUGGGAAUACCUCAGUGCUACAAGUUUCACCCUAGGAGCAACGGAAGGUUUUAAUUUAUUGUAGUUGUAAACAGAAUUAAAACAAACAAACAAAAAAAAAAAAAAAAAAAAGGAAAAAAAAGAAAAAAAAAAGAGAAAAAAAAUAAAGUAUAAAACAUCAUUGCACUGUGACUGGUAGGGGAAAAACUGACAGUUUCCUAUUUGCACAUGUUUAAUAUUUGGCUGUUAUAUAUAUGGUCCUCUGUUGGGGGAGGAAACUUAUGAAGGAUAUUUUUUAAUUUAAUUUUUUUAAUAUUGGUAAAUAGGCCUGCAACAGCAACCUGACGUACAGCGCGGUAGGUGGCAUUAAGAACAUGCUGUAGCGUGGAUAUAUUUCUUCUUUUUUUAACGUAAUAUUGACGAGUUUUAUUAAUAUUUUUUUAAAUUGUUACGUUUAUAAAUUUGGUACUUUAGGUACAGCCAGUACAAGACACUGAAUGCGACAUUUGUUAAAAGAGCUGCUGCACUCCUAUUUUUGUAAAUUUUACUAACCAGUAGAAAUACCGUAGCCGUUCAGUAGACAAGGCAGGGAAGGCGUCUGCGACGGGAGCAAGGCACCGUACUGCUAAGCAGGAGGAGCAAAGCUUGGCUUUCCUCUUACUUCUGAGAACAGAAUCAUGCUUUUCUGUGUAACGCUUUUGGUUGGUUUUCCUUCUUAUUUCCGAACAACCAGGUUUAAGCAAAAUGCUGGACGCUUUUUAAAUACUGAGACUUUGAUGGAGUGAUAACAGGAAACGAAACCAUUCUUUAAAAGGCAAAAACGGGAGAAAAAGAGAAAGAAAACAAAAAGCAACAAACCAAAUUCCCUGAGGUUCGGUGUGCCAUCAGGGGAUUUUUUAUGGCUCUUCUGUCCAUGUUGAUGAUGUACUGUACUACCGGUUGGUUCUCCUCUCCAUCCCCUGUCACCUCAUAGAAUAUUCUUUGUUAUCAUUGUUGUAUGUUAAUAGUGUAUAAAAUGGCUAUCUUGUAAGAGUGCUGUCCUGAUGCUAGUGUAGUGGAUCUUCCCCUCCUCUCUUCCCCUUCUAGUACAUAUUGGUAGGUGUAUCGUAAUUAAGGUUAACAAUUUAGAUGUAGUUAUUCAGAUUUAGGACCAGUAAGGAUAGAACUUUCUCUUAUUUAAGGAAAAAAAAAAAAAAAAAAAAAAAAAGAAAAGAAAAAAAAAGGCUAAUAAUUUUGGGAAGGUUUUCUCGUUUGUUUUUGCUUUUUUUCCUUCCUUUCCUCUGAUGUUGUUUUUCUUUCCGUUGUUGUUGUUCUUUUCUUUUGCUGAUCUGAUGCGGUUCCAACUAACCAAAGGUCUCACGGCGUUAAAAAUGCUGGCGAACUCUUACGGCAUUUUGUAGAUCCCCACCCUGUGGAAGGGGAUGUGCCAUACUACCUUAAAUGCUAACGCUAGAUAUGCAAAACUGGAUUUUUUUAAUUUAUUUUUUAAAAGAGGGAGGCACGGUAUAAUAAAACGAUUUUACUAAGAGAAAAAAAAAAACAAAAAAAAACAAAAAAAAAGAAAAACAUAUUUUUUUAAGAAUGCUCAGAAGAAAUUGCUAAUCUGUGUGAAUAUGUUUUAGAUGUUUAUAUACCUUUUGCGAAGUCCUAGUGGCCCAUAGCACAAAUGUCGUGGAACCCGGUACGUCUCGAUGUGGCUACCUAUGCUGAGGGUCCGUCAGUGCCCCGCUCAUCUCGGACUCCAUUCCCAAGGGGUUUUGUUCCUUCGUUCCCUCACUCGGGGGUUCUGUGUACCUUUGUGGCGUGGAGGCUCAGCACGCUUUGCUUUCAGUCCAGCACAGCGAUUGACAGCCGCCGGCUGAUCCAAGCUCCCACAGAGCGGCUUUGGGCCAGGGCUGAGCCCGCCAGGAGCUGCAGAACCCCAGGAGUUCAGCUCUCCUCCCCAGCCAAAACACAGAAAGUCGUUUGUGAUGGGCUCCAUUAAAAUGAAGCCUGACCUGUCCCUUUUUUCAUUUCUUACACUCAUCCAUGUUCAUUUUGAGUCGAAUUUGUAGCUUGGACUUUAAGGUAGCAUGGCUCUCUUGCUGUAUUUUCUUUUUCCAUUGUACAGCAGCAUUCAUUCAGCUGGUGAAUGUCACACAUCUCGCUAGAGUAGUCAACCAUUGGGUAGCUGUCAGUAUAUGACCUGAAAGGUGUUCGCGUUUCUUUUCCCCCUUCCCGCUCCGAAACCUCCGAUGCUGUUUCCAUCAUGGGUGUGAAUGAGGGCUCGUGCUGCACCACCACCGCUCUGCCACUCAGCACAGCCUAACCCAGAACCAAGCAAUAUUGUUUCCUCCAUUUCUCUGCAGGCCAGCCAUGGUUAUGUAUGAUAUUGCAUACGAAACUGUUUACAAACAUAAAACAAAACACUAACUCGUAGCUGUCUUUUACGCUAUGGAAAUGUCUCUUGGGUGGAAUCUUUUGAAUUCUGUUCGUUGUUAUUAAUUUUAUUUUAUUUUAUUUUAUUUUUGGUGUUUGUUUUGGUUUGGUUUUUAAGCAAAAUAGUUCCAACAGAAAACUGAGGGUCGUUCAGUGUAAGACGGGAUGCAUCGAAGACACACCGCGGGCCCGGGGUCUGCGCGUACACUGUAGAGUUUCAUACAUACAGAAUCGAAGUCGAACCCAUUUCUGUGUGUGAACACUACGUGAGGAGAUUCUGUAAGCUAAGCAAUACUUUAAUACUGUAAUAAAAUUACCAAAAAAAAUAAUAAUAAUAAAAAUAAGUAGUUUGAGAAGAGUAAAUGCGCGUGCCGCGGGUGGGGGCGGCGCUGCCCCGGGCUCAGCUGUAACACCCAGCGGCGCCGGGCCUGCGUGUGUCGCUGCAUGGCGGGUAGCAAACUGACGUCGUUCUGUGUCGUGCGAGGUCCGAACUCCAUCAGUGCUAGAGUGCGAGUCAAAGCAUUUCAGGUGGUCAUAAAUGUACCUAAAUAUACUAUGGCACAGUGGCGAGCCUAGCCCUUCCUUUUAUACUUUAGUAUGAACUGAUGAGAACUUUGGUAGUGACUUUUUUUUUAUAUAUAUACAUAUAUAUAUGUAUCUAUAUAUAUCAAGCAUCUUUCAGGUCUCUGUGUAUGGCUUUCUGAAGCCCUGUUGUAAAAUACUACGUGGAUGGGGGUCUCUCACAUCACAGAUGUGGAAAGUAUAAUUUUAUAUUUGUAUUUUCAAAUAAAUAAGUUUGUGAAAGGUUUCCAUCCUCUACUGUGGUCCAGAAAUCAACGUGUUUGUCUGACAAAAAAAUACAAUAAACUGUUUUGAACAGA
This is a non-coding RNA of Coturnix japonica (Japanese quail), 7581 nucleotides long. The record is from RefSeq and is a predicted model, not a curated record. NCBI's taxonomy places the organism in Eukaryota, Metazoa, Chordata, Aves, Galliformes, Phasianidae.